This 509-nucleotide long non-coding RNA is filed under the name Oryza sativa (Asian cultivated rice). RNAcentral describes it as "long non-coding RNA (OSAT_LNC001398)". The record is from RNAcentral. Lineage: Eukaryota; Viridiplantae; Streptophyta; Magnoliopsida; Poales; Poaceae.
GAAGCCCAUGCCGAAACGGCAAAUCCAAUCCAAAAUCAUCUCGUGAAAACUUUCAAAUUACUCAUACAGCAAAUUCAAAUCCCGAUGUUUCAAAUAGGAUUAAUGUUUUUUUUCGCGAACGUGUAAAAAAAAUUAUAUGUCAAUAUAUUAAAAGAAAAGAGCGUUUGAUACGCACCGCAAUCCGUCAGACCGACUUAUGCCAAAAAAAUAAAGAAAAAAUGAGAAAAAAAACGAGAAAAAGAAAGAAACUACUACGGUGGCUAAACGCAACUUAAAAAAUAGGGAGGGACAGAGCCCCACUACCCUCUUAAGAAGACCCUAAAAUAGCAACACCAGCUAACAAUCAAAUGGCCCUCGUAGAUGAUUAAUCUGCAAACCGGCAAGAUUACUCCGGGGAUCCGGGCGAGCGCGUUCGAACGCGAAUUCGAGAGGGAAAUUGGGUGGGAAUAAUGAUGGAUUACCAGUACGCGUUUCUUCUCUUUUCUUCUUGUCUCCCAUUUGGUUUCGCG